GGAGUUAGCCGGUGCUUCUUCUGUGAGUGAUGUCCUUCCUGCCGGUUAUUGACCCGCAGGCCUUCUUCCUCACUGAAAGUGCUUUACAACCCGAAGGCCUUCUUCACACACGCGGCAUGGCUGGAUCAGGGUUGCCCCCAUUGUCCAAUAUUCCCCACUGCUGCCUCCCGUAGGAGUCUGGGCCGUGUCUCAGUCCCAGUGUGGCUGAUCAUCCUCUCAGACCAGCUACGGAUCGUCGCCUUGGUGAGCCGUUACCUCACCAACCAGCUAAUCCGACAUAGGCUCAUCCGAUAGCGCGAGGCCCGAAGGUCCCCCGCUUUCCCCCGUAGGGCGUAUGCGGUAUUAGCCUGGGUUUCCCCAGGUUAUCCCCCACUACCGGGCAGAUUCCUAUGCAUUACUCACCCGUCCGCCGCUCGCCACCAGGGAGCAAGCUCCCCGUGCUGCCGCUCGACUUGCAUGUGUUAGGCCUGCCGCCAGAGUUCAAUCUGAGCCAGAAUCAAACUCUGA
This 507-nucleotide ribosomal RNA is filed under the name uncultured bacterium. RNAcentral describes it as "partial 16S ribosomal RNA". The record is from RNAcentral.